This 806-nucleotide ribosomal RNA is filed under the name uncultured bacterium. Its description in RNAcentral is "bacterial SSU rRNA". It matches the Rfam family "Bacterial small subunit ribosomal RNA", at positions 1 to 800 of the family's 1533-position model. The record is from RNAcentral.
GAAUUCGCCCUUAGAGGGGGAUCCUGGCUCAGGAUGAACGCUGGCGGCGUGCUUAACACAUGCAAGUUGAACGAAGCUCAUGGGAUUGACUCCUUCGGGAGGAUAUUCUUUGAGACUUAGUGGCGAACGGGUGAGUAACACGUGAGCAACCAACCCCUGACAGUGGAAUAACAACGGGAAACCGUUGCUAAUACCGCAUAAUAUCCUGGUAUGGCAUCAUAUGGGGAUCAAAGAUUUAUCGGUCAGGGACGGGCUCGCGUCCGAUUAGGUAGUAGGUAAGGUAACGGCUUACCUAGCCUGCGAUCGGUAGCCGGACUGAGAGGUCGAUCGGCCACAUUGGGACUGAGAUACGGCCCAGACUCCUACGGGAGGCAGCAGUGGGGAAUAUUGGACAAUGGGGGAAACCCUGAUCCAGCAACGCCGCGUGGAGGAUGACGCAUCUAGGUGUGUAAACUCCUUUUAUAAGGGAAGAUAAUGACGGUACCUUAUGAAUAAGCACCGGCUAACUCCGUGCCAGCAGCCGCGGUAAUACGGGGGGUGCAAGCGUUACUCGGAAUCACUGGGCGUAAAGGGCGCGUAGGCGGGUUGUCAAGUUCCGUGUGAAAUCCAACGGCUUAACCGUUGAACUGCUUGGAAAACUGACAGCCUAGAGUGAGGGAGAGGUAGAUGGAAUUGGUGGUGUAGGGGUAAAAUCCGUAGAUAUCACCAGGAAUACCCAUUGCGAAGGCGAUCUACUGGAACUCAACUGACGCUGAGGCGCGAAAGCGUGGGGAGCAAACAGAAUUAGAUACCCUGGUAGUCCACGC